Non-coding RNA from Rattus norvegicus (Norway rat), 1215 nucleotides. The record is from RefSeq and is a predicted model, not a curated record. NCBI's taxonomy places the organism in Eukaryota, Metazoa, Chordata, Mammalia, Rodentia, Muridae.
GUGACUUUUUAUUAGAGAACAAUAGUUUUGUUUUUGUCACUCCAAGGCCGGAGCCACAAAACAAGAGGAAGUGCAGGGUCUUGGUAUUUUGUCUGGAUAAUAUGUUAUUUCUUCUGAUUGCUGUGCAAACACCACAUGGGAGCUACAACUUUGGUUCCAGUCAUUGUUCUCCAAGGUUGGUAAUGGCCACAGGGAUGCUGGCAGGAGGAAAAAGGUUGGUUGUAUAUGGAAAAGGUUGGUUUAAAUUCUGUCUUAAACAUUCUGUAUUGGAAGAACCAAUGAUGCAUAUAGCUGGAGGGUAUCUAGCGUGUGACUAGAAAAAUGAAUUUGGAAAUUUAUUUGACAAUAAACGUGAACACAGAGGCAGUGCCAGCUAAUGGAAGGGACAACUCUCCAGUGUUCAGAGGAUGGAGUGGCCACAGGACGGAAUCCUGAGUUGCUCAUUCUCACUUGAGGAGGAAGUGAGGUCAUCAAAAGGGACAGGGAAUGAGCAACCAUGGAAAGAGGGUAACUAUGAGAGUACCAGAGAAGGGAUUCCAAGGUAGGGAGUCCUUUCAGAAAACACUGAUUAACCAGCACAAACAGAGCGCUGGUGAGAUAGAGAGGAAAGGAAUACAACGAGCUUCUGAUAUCUCCUAAUAUGAAGCCAUAGAGUGUAAUGCUGAGCUGUAAAAUAAAAAGGGCCCAGAAGAUGUGGAAAGAGAAUGGUUUUGCCCUCCUAAAUUCUAGGCUGUACGGAUGCAGUAGGUAAGAGUUCAAGAUAUCUGACCCUCAUUUCGAACUCAGAGGAGAGCAACAGGAGCCAACAGGAGCCACUCAGGAGCCCUGCAAGGUCCUCGUGCAGAGUCCAGCAACAUUCUGCCAUGCCUGCUGGCAGCAUCGGGGACAUAUUGAGAAAGAAAUUUCAAAGCAUAGCUUGCUUCCCAAGACACUGGCACUCUGAAUACCAACAGAAAAUUAUGCAUCCGUGUCGUGCAGAGAGAAGGAAGAUCUGCUUUGUUAAAUUCUGUGAGUUAUUUUAAAGGAAAUUCUGCUGGCUCAAAUAAGUUGGAAAUGAGAUGUGUUGAGAACAGGCUGUAGAGACAGGGUGAACCCAGAGGCUGGCAUAGGAAAAAAAAACCUACCCUAAGAUCAGAAUCAAAGUCAUUUACCUACAUUUUUGUCUACUGAAAUGUGGGCCUUGCCCUGACACCCGAAAUAGAUGACACAAAACUA